UGUUUGGACGGGAAGGAAGUCGUUCACGGCGCCGUUGGGUUGAAGGAUUCAGAUGACACGACGACGGGUGGUUUUGUUUUAUUAUUUUUGGGAAAAUAAAUGGUUCUCAACUCUCGUUCACUUUCUCUCGGACAGAGGCGCUGCCCCGCCGUUGAUUCACUCGUGCCACCUCUCAUUCCUUAGGAUCUAGGGUCUUCUUCUCUCGAUUGUGUUUCUGCUCCUGAGGAUGGAAUUCUUUUAAUCCUUUCUCUGGAUGCCGUAGGAUCCUCUGCAAGCCUGGUGGUCGCAGAUUUGGACUGAUCCACAGCCUUCCUUCUCUCAAUGACCCAAGAAUUGAUAGGUUGCCAUACUCAAUUAGAAUUAUGCUGGAAUCUGCCAUUCGUAAUUGUCACUGGGGACAAGAUAUUACUAAAGAAGAUGUUGAGAUGAUUAUUGACUGGGAAAGCUCUUCAACGAAGCAAGUUGAGAUUCCUUUCAUUCCAGCUCGUGUUCUCCUGCAGGAUUUUACUCAAGUUCCAGCUAAUGUAAUCCUGGCCUGCAUACGAGAUGAUCUGGUUUCUGUUAAUCUCGUCACUGGUCAUUCAGUUGAAGUUGAUGUGGCUAAUCUGGAGCUUGAGUUCCAGAGAAGCAAGGAGAUAUGUGAUUCCCGUAGACGGGUUUCAAAAUCUUGCCACAACAUGCUUGUAGUUCCUCCUGGUUCGGGACCACAUCAAGUCAAUCUUGAAUAUCUCAGCAGUGUUGUAUUCAACGCCGAGGGCUUACUCUAUCCUGACAGUGUGGUUGGGAUUGAUUCACACACAACUAUGAUAAAUGGGCUUGGAGUUUCUGGAUGAGGUGUUGGGCGUAUUGAAGCAGAGGCAGUAAUGUAUGGCAAGCCUAUGAACAUGAUAUUACCUUGUGUUGUUGGAUUCAAGUUGUCUGGAAAAUUGCGCAACGGUAUUACAGCAACUGAUUUGGCUCUAACUAUUACACAAAUACUUCGUGAACAUGGUGUUGUUGGGAAGUUUGUUGAGUUUUAUGGUGAUGGUAUGCGCCGAUUAUCAUUAGCUGACAGGGCCACUAUUGCCAAUAUGGCUCCUGAGUAUGGAGCGAGCAUGGGUUUCUUUCCCGUAGAUAAUGUUACACUACAAUACCUCAAGUUAACGGGAAGAAGUGAAGAGACUGUGGCAAUGAUAGAGGCCUACCUCAGGGAAAACAAAAUGUUUGUGGACUAUGAUGAGCCUCAACAAGAAAGAGUUUAUUCAUCCUAUCUUGAAUUGAACCUUGAUGAAGUUGAACCAUGUAUCUCAGUGCCAAAGAGACCUCAUGAUCGGGUGCCUUUGAAAGAAAUGAAGACUGAUUGGCAUGCUUGUCUUGAUAGCAAAGUGGGGUAUAAGGGAUUUCUUUCAAUAGUAGAAGAUGUAGAAAACAAAGUUGCAAAAUUUGAUUUCCACGGGCAGCCAGCAGAGCUCAAGGAUGGAAGCGUUGUGAUUGCUUUAAUCACAAGCUGUACAAAUACGUCAAACCUGAGCGUUAUGCUUGAGGCUGGUCUUGUUGCAAAGAAGGCUUAUGAGCUAGGUUUGCAGGUUAAGCCUUGGGUUAAAACAAGUCUUACUCCAGGCUCUGGAGUUGUCACAGAAUAUCUACUUCAGAGUGGCCUGCAAAAGUAUCUAAAUGAACAGGGUUUCCAAAUUGUUGGAUUUGGUUGCACCACAGGCAUUGGAAAUUCAGGGGAUUUGGACAAAUCAGUUGCUUCUGCUAUCUCAGAAAAUGACAUCAGAGCGGCUGCUGUGUUUUCUGGGAACCGUAAUGUUGAGGGGCGUGUCCCCCGUGUGCAUCCUUUGACACAAACUAACUUGCUUGUAUCACCUCCACUGGUUGUUGCUUAUGCGCUUGCUGGGACGGUUGACAUUAAUUUUGAAACGGAGCCAAUAGGGACAGGGAAGGAUGGAAAUAAUAUCUACUUAAGUGAUGUUUGGCCAUCCACUGAAGAAGUUGCACAGGUGAAUGAAGGCAUACUUCCUUAUGUCAUCAGGAAACUCUAGAAAGCAAGGCAGUAUAUUGGAACAUGUGGAUUAUUAUUCCAUGAAACGGAAAAACUUACCCAGUCUCCGUUAACCAUGAUAUUUUUCGUUUGUUCUUUGAUACUGAGUCAUCUAUCAGUUUGUUAUUUCGGAUUCCAUAUUUCUCUUUCCGUAUGACGUUGUUUGGAGGACCACUCUCCUUAACUCAUGUUACUUUCUGGAAGUGAUGCUAACAAUGGGAUAGCAUUUGAUAAUA
Lotus japonicus is the source of this 2259-nucleotide RNA transcript. It is a transcript of the gene named aconitate hydratase, cytoplasmic-like, with no coding region annotated. Lineage: Eukaryota; Viridiplantae; Streptophyta; Magnoliopsida; Fabales; Fabaceae. The transcript has 16 exons. The record is from RefSeq and is a predicted model, not a curated record.